This 621-nucleotide long non-coding RNA is filed under the name Bos indicus x Bos taurus (hybrid cattle). Its description in RNAcentral is "lncRNA (ENSBIXG00005030359.1)". Lineage: Eukaryota; Metazoa; Chordata; Mammalia; Artiodactyla; Bovidae. The record is from RNAcentral.
UAUAAACAUCAAAUAGUGUGAAACGCUUUGUUUUGAAUGUUUGCAGGUAAUGUUCUCCCAUAAGCAAGAUCCGCGUUUUGAAGUCACAAGCCCUGGAAAGUACCCACAGGGAAUAAAAGUAUGUUUCUCGGAUUUGCUCCUCAGCCUGAAGCGAGAGGAGGAGACGGUCUCUCUGUAGUGUCUUUUGUGGAUGGUGCCUUGGACCUGCAUUGCACAGCAGCCCUGCCCUGCUCCCUUCUACACCCCAGAUGCUUUCCUCACCAAAAUCACAGUGACCUUGGCAAUUCUAGAUCCUGGAAGAUAUCCACUCCUAGGGCUGGUUCAGUGUCUUAUUCAUUCCUGGCGUCUACCACUAUGUGAAGCAGAGUCCCUACCACUGAGUAGGAUUCACACGUUGAUCAUCACUGGUCCAUACGAGCUUGACAGAGGCUCCCCGGCAACCUGCAGACUGGAAGCAGUUUCCAAUUGCUUCAUGCACAGCUGUUAACUUACGGAAUUGGGAUUCUAAAUUCUUCUCCUACUUCUGCACGUAAUGAUAUCUUUUUACUAUCUCAUUUGUAUUAUUUCAGUUCAGAUGAGCACAAAAAUAAAUGUAUCCCAUCACAUCUGGAAAAGUACCGC